RNAcentral lists this ribosomal RNA (495 nucleotides) under uncultured Eubacteriales bacterium. RNAcentral describes it as "uncultured Clostridiales bacterium partial 16S ribosomal RNA". The record is from RNAcentral. Lineage: Bacteria; Bacillati; Bacillota; Clostridia; Eubacteriales.
CACAUAGUUAGCCGGAGCUUCCUCCUUAGGUACUGUCUUUUAUCUUCCCUAACGACAAUAGUUUACAAUCCGAAAACCUUCUUCCUAUACGCGGCGUCACUGCGUCAGAGUUUCCUUCCCAUUGCGCAAUAUUCCCGACCUGCUGCCUCCCGUAGGAGUCUGGGCCGGUAUCUCAGUCCCAAUGUGGCCGUUCAACCUCUCAGUCCGGCUACUGAUCGUCGCCUUGGUAGGCCGUUACCCCACCAACUAGCUAAUCAGACGCAAGCCCAUCUAUUAGUGGAUUGCUCCUUUCCUCACUGUAUCAUGUGAUACUGUGAGCAUAUGCGGUAUUAGCAAUGAUUUCUCACUGUUAUUCCCCUCUAAUAGGCAGGUUGCUUACGUGUUACUCACCAGUCCGCCACUAACCGCUCCCAAUGUAAACAAAGGGUUAAGUUCGUCGACUUGCAUGUCUUAUGUGCGCCGCCAGCGUUUUAUCCUGAGCCAGGAUCAAACUCU